This 162-nucleotide ribosomal RNA is filed under the name Scorzonera humilis. RNAcentral describes it as "5.8S ribosomal RNA". It matches the Rfam family "5.8S ribosomal RNA". Rfam says of the family: 5.8S ribosomal RNA (5.8S rRNA) is a component of the large subunit of the eukaryotic ribosome. It is transcribed by RNA polymerase I as part of the 45S precursor that also contains 18S and 28S rRNA. Lineage: Eukaryota; Viridiplantae; Streptophyta; Magnoliopsida; Asterales; Asteraceae. The record is from RNAcentral.
AAACGACUCUCGGCAACGGAUAUCUUGGCUCACGCAUCGAUGAAGAACGUAGCAAAAUGCGAUACUUGGUGUGAAUUGCAGAAUCCCGUGAACCAUCGAGUUUUUGAACGCAAGUUGCGCCCAAAGCCAUCCGGCCGAGGGCACGCCUGCCUGGGCGUCACG